RNAcentral lists this ribosomal RNA (612 nucleotides) under uncultured beta proteobacterium. RNAcentral describes it as "bacterial SSU rRNA". It matches the Rfam family "Bacterial small subunit ribosomal RNA", at positions 38 to 645 of the family's 1533-position model. The record is from RNAcentral. Lineage: Bacteria; Pseudomonadati; Pseudomonadota; Betaproteobacteria.
GGCGGCAUGCCUUACACAUGCAAGUCGAGCGGCAGCGCGGGGGCAACCCUGGCGGCGAGCGGCGAACGGGUGAGUAAUACAUCGGAACGUGUCCUGUCGUGGGGGAUAACCAGUCGAAAGACUGGCUAAUACCGCAUGAGAUCGAGAGAUGAAAGCAGGGGACCGCAAGGCCUUGCGCGAUUGGAGCGGCCGAUGUCGGAUUAGCUUGUUGGCGGGGUAAAAGCCCACCAAGGCGACGAUCCGUAGCUGGUUUGAGAGAACGACCAGCCACACUGGGACUGAGACACGGCCCAGACUCCUACGGGAGGCAGCAGUGGGGAAUUUUGGACAAUGGGGGCAACCCUGAUCCAGCCAUGCCGCGUGUGUGAAGAAGGCCUUCGGGUUGUAAAGCACUUUCGGACGGAACGAAAUCGCACGGGUGAAUAUCCCGUGUGGAUGACGGUACUGUAAGAAGAAGCACCGGCUAACUACGUGCCAGCAGCCGCGGUAAUACGUAGGGUGCGAGCGUUAAUCGGAAUUACUGGGCGUAAAGCGUGCGCAGGCGGCUUCGCAAGUCAGACGUGAAAUCCCCGGGCUUAACCUGGGAAUGGCGUUUGAAACUACGGAGCUGGA